UACGAAGGGUGCAAGCGUUACUCGGAAUCACUGGGCGUAAAGCGUGCGUAGGCGGUUCGUUAAGUCUGCUGUGAAAGCCCUGGGCUCAACCUGGGAACUGCAGUGGAUACUGGCGGACUAGAGUGUGAUAGAGGAUGGUGGAAUUCCCGGUGUAGCGGUGAAAUGCGUAGAGAUCGGGAGGAACACCAGUGGCGAAGGCGGCCAUCUGGAUCAACACUGACGCUGAGGCACGAAAGUGUGGGGAUCAAACAGG
This 253-nucleotide ribosomal RNA is filed under the name uncultured bacterium. RNAcentral describes it as "partial 16S ribosomal RNA". It matches the Rfam family "Bacterial small subunit ribosomal RNA", at positions 524 to 776 of the family's 1533-position model. The record is from RNAcentral.